UGUAGGAGCGAGCUUGCUCGCGAAGGUGUGUCAGCUACUCAGAUGUUUCUGACACUCCAUCGCGAGCAAGCUCGCUCCUACA
Molecule: non-coding RNA, 82 nt
Filed under: Pseudomonas sp. GV085
Lineage: Bacteria; Pseudomonadati; Pseudomonadota; Gammaproteobacteria; Pseudomonadales; Pseudomonadaceae
Source: RNAcentral